GUAGGUGGCAAGCGUUGUCCGGAAUUAUUGGGCGUAAAGCGCGCGCAGGCGGUCCUUUAAGUCUGAUGUGAAAGCCCGCGGCUCAACCGUGGAGGGUCAUUGGAAACUGGGGGACUUGAGUACAGAAGAGGAAAGCGGAAUUCCAAGUGUAGCGGUGAAAUGCGUAGAGAUUUGGAGGAACACCAGUGGCGAAGGCGGCUUUCUGGUCUGUAACUGACGCUGAGGCGCGAAAGCGUGGUGAGCAAACAGGGAUUAGAUACCCUGGUAGUCCACGCCGUAAACGAUGAGUGCUAAGUGUUAGGGGGUUUCCGCCCCCUUAGUGCUGCAGCUAACGCAUUAAGCACUCCGCCUGGGGAUACGGCCGCAAGGCUG
RNAcentral lists this ribosomal RNA (372 nucleotides) under uncultured organism. RNAcentral's name for it is "partial 16S ribosomal RNA". It matches the Rfam family "Bacterial small subunit ribosomal RNA", at positions 527 to 896 of the family's 1533-position model. The record is from RNAcentral.